UCUCUCUCUCUGAAAAGUGGGAUACUUAAAUAACUUUUAGACUCUAAUUGGAAGAGAAAAUGUCAGUUUCUUCAUUUUCUUCCAGGGCUUUUAUUGAAGUUUUGGCAAUCUUUGCUCUACUCUUUGCUAUUGUUUCGCCUACUUUGGCUUUGUAUCCGACUCAUGAUUCUGUUCAUGUUGACAUCCAUAAACGAUGUGAAAGUUUAAGCGAAACUUGGCACGGGAGAUGUAGGAGCACGGGAAACUGUGAUAGGCAUUGCAGGAAUCAGGAGCAGGCAGAACAUGGGGCAUGUCAUGGGUUUUGGCAUAAAAAAUGCUAUUGCUAUCACGUAUGUGCUUCAGUAGAAGACAAUCAAAACGCAUCGAAAACUGACCGUCCGGACGGUUAAAAUGAAAACCGCUUUUGUUGAGUUGUACGCGCGUCAAAACUUUCAUUGUCUCAGGAAAUUGCCUUCCUUGAGAUAUUUGAUGCAGAUCUUGCCAUAUUAAGCCAUUUUCAGGUUGGAGAAUAUAUUCUGCAAUAUUUGAAAAGUCAUUAAUUUCACCUUGUUGAAGGCAGCAAAUGUUAUGAACUCAAACAUGAUAUUGCUAUCAUGAAUGUGCCUGAGUACAAGACAAUGAAAAUGCAUCGAGAGGCGUAAAAAGACUCUUUUAACAGUAGUUGUUGCAACUUGCUGGCAGGCAUAAUAAAUGACAAUGUUAUCGAUGAAUAAACUAAUGAAUACUCAAUAUCAUUUUUCAUC
This is a long non-coding RNA of Alnus glutinosa, 743 nucleotides long. RefSeq lists it as uncharacterized. The transcript is spliced from 2 exons. The record is from RefSeq and is a predicted model, not a curated record. NCBI's taxonomy places the organism in Eukaryota, Viridiplantae, Streptophyta, Magnoliopsida, Fagales, Betulaceae.